UCCCUGGUAGCUCAGCUGGUAAAGAAUUUGCCUGCAAUGCAGGAGAUCCUGGUUUGAUUCCUGGAUUGGGAA
This 72-nucleotide transfer RNA is filed under the name Bos taurus (domestic cattle). It matches the Rfam family "tRNA". Rfam says of the family: Transfer RNA (tRNA) molecules are approximately 80 nucleotides in length. Their secondary structure includes four short double-helical elements and three loops (D, anti-codon, and T loops). RNAcentral also lists the same sequence under 5 other names. The record is from Rfam by way of RNAcentral. Lineage: Eukaryota; Metazoa; Chordata; Mammalia; Artiodactyla; Bovidae.